GCCGCUGGAAACGUCCUCCAUGGUCAUGUACGUUUCAAACACUGUCUUCUUUGGUCCUCCUCGGCAUCCCGAGUGGGCUUCCGAAUGGUGCAGCGGUCUAAGUCACUGCAUCUCAGUGCAAGAGACCCUGGUUCGAAUCCGGGCUGUAUCACCUCUGGCCGUGAUUAGGAGUCCCCAUAAGGCGGCACACAAUUGGCCCAGCGUCGUCCAGUGUAGGCCGUCAUUGUAAAUAAGAAUUUGUUCUUAACUGACUUGCCUAAUAAAGGUUCAUUUAAAAAAAAAAAAAUCUGUUAAACCGGCUUUUGGGGGAGACGUCCCAUGACUCAUGUUCUUUGGUUACCUGUGGGCACUUUGGAAGCAUGGUCUUUGUAGUCUUCGUUUUGUCAUCUGGUGUUGCUGCUGGGAGUCCCUCUGUUUGAGAGAGCACAACUACUCACCGGACUCCAUAUCUCUGUCCUGACUGGUUUUGGUGUCCCUACGCACACCUGUGGCUGCUUUUCGGAAACCCCCUGCAGCACACCACUUGUCCAUGUACAAGGACAGAGAGCCCUCUUCUCCUCCCUUACCUUUCAUAGGUGAAGGCGAGAAGUCACUUGAGUCAGAGCACUCGAUAAAUGCCUGGUCCCUUUUUCUCAGCGGUAUGUCAUGUUUGUUGCUGUGGGCUAGACCCUGCCUCUGUGCGUUUGGCCCAUUCUUUUCCCCCUGCUGUGGGGCAGAACUUUCUACUGUGAUGUUGGCCGAGGAGUCUGGCAUAAGCAUCGUUCUGAUGAGGGGUGCUGGACUGGCUGGGUCCACGUUUGCCAUUCCGAGACCUAUUGCCUGCCUUGAAUUGACGAGGAACCAUUUAGCAGUGAAAUGGCUGAAAAGACAGUGCUCAGAUUUUGUAUUUAGCUAUACAAUUAACCAGAGAAAACAUACAGAAACGUACAGAUAUAGGUAGUGAAUGUUAUGCAGACUAGCUAGCUAGUUAGUAGUCACCUUAACCAAUCUCAUAGACUGGAAGGAUGGUUAGAUGCCUAGCUCCACCAAGGUUAUUUUGCUCCAUGCCUCCUCCAUCCACUGAUGUGUGGUUACCUCGCUUCAUCAUCAGGAUCACCAAGUCAGAGAUUGUGGCCAAGUUGACACAGCUGCAAACACUAAUUUACAUGGCAUCAAGUUAUAUAGCUAAAGACAACUUGGCUAGCCAACUCUACAUUAACUAGCAAUACAAGCAACCUCGCGUUUAAAAUGUUCACUUGACCAGCUAGAGGUUUCGAUUUUCCUCAUGAGGUUGAGCUAAAUAUACAGCUAGCAAGCCUAGCUGGCUAACUCGCCAAUGCAAUGUUGCAUCGGUUUAGUGCUAGCUAACGCCUUAAUAAUCGUCGAAGACUCCCCAGUCAGACUGUUUUAUCUGUUACCGCACGGCAAGCGGUACCAGAGCGCCAAGUCUAGGUCCAAAAGGCUUAACAGCUUUUACCCCCAGGCCAUAAGACUCCUGAACAGCUAAUCAAAUGGCUAUCCAGACUAUUUGCAUUGCUCCCCCUUUUACGCCGCUGCUGCUACUCUCUGUUUAUUAUCUAUGCAUAGUCACUUUAACUCUACCUACAUAGUCAUAUUUAUACAAUUAAUCUUAUUAAAAAUUCAUUUUAAAACCAACCUUAACCAUAUGCCUAAUCUUACAUUAAGACCAAAAAGCUUAUUUGAGUCAAGAUAUAGCUUUGUGGCUGUGCUAUCUAGUAGAGACCUUAAAUAACCACUGUGUAAAU
RNAcentral lists this long non-coding RNA (1745 nucleotides) under Salmo salar (Atlantic salmon). RNAcentral describes it as "lncRNA (ENSSSAG00000118884.1)". Lineage: Eukaryota; Metazoa; Chordata; Actinopteri; Salmoniformes; Salmonidae. The record is from RNAcentral.